This 253-nucleotide ribosomal RNA is filed under the name uncultured bacterium. RNAcentral's name for it is "partial 16S ribosomal RNA". It matches the Rfam family "Bacterial small subunit ribosomal RNA", at positions 524 to 776 of the family's 1533-position model. The record is from RNAcentral.
UACGAAGGGGGCUAGCGUUGUUCGGAAUUACUGGGCGUAAAGCGCACGUAGGCGGCUUUGUAAGUUAGAGGUGAAAUCCUGGAGCUCAACUCCAGAACUGCCUUUGAUACUGGAGAGCUUGAGUCCGGGAGAGGUGAGUGGAACUCCGAGUGUAGAGGUGAAAUUCGUAGAUAUUCGGAAGAACGCCAGUGGCGAAGGCGGCUCACUGGCCCGGUACUGACGCUGAGGUGCGAAAGCGUGGGGAGCAAACGGG